Molecule: ribosomal RNA, 2921 nt
Filed under: Staphylococcus aureus
Lineage: Bacteria; Bacillati; Bacillota; Bacilli; Caryophanales; Staphylococcaceae
Also listed under: 1 other name
Description: bacterial LSU rRNA
Rfam family: Bacterial large subunit ribosomal RNA
Source: RNAcentral
UUAAGUUAUUAAGGGCGCACGGUGGAUGCCUUGGCACUAGAAGCCGAUGAAGGACGUUACUAACGACGAUAUGCUUUGGGGAGCUGUAAGUAAGCUUUGAUCCAGAGAUUUCCGAAUGGGGAAACCCAACAUGAGUUAUGUCAUGUUAUCGAUAUGUGAAUACAUAGCAUAUCAGAAGGCACACCCGGAGAACUGAAACAUCUUAGUACCCGGAGGAAGAGAAAGAAAAUUCGAUUCCCUUAGUAGCGGCGAGCGAAACGGGAAGAGCCCAAACCAACAAGCUUGCUUGUUGGGGUUGUAGGACACUCUAUACGGAGUUACAAAGGACGACAUUAGACGAAUCAUCUGGAAAGAUGAAUCAAAGAAGGUAAUAAUCCUGUAGUCGAAAAUGUUGUCUCUCUUGAGUGGAUCCUGAGUACGACGGAGCACGUGAAAUUCCGUCGGAAUCUGGGAGGACCAUCUCCUAAGGCUAAAUACUCUCUAGUGACCGAUAGUGAACCAGUACCGUGAGGGAAAGGUGAAAAGCACCCCGGAAGGGGAGUGAAAUAGAACCUGAAACCGUGUGCUUACAAGUAGUCAGAGCCCGUUAAUGGGUGAUGGCGUGCCUUUUGUAGAAUGAACCGGCGAGUUACGAUUUGAUGCAAGGUUAAGCAGUAAAUGUGGAGCCGUAGCGAAAGCGAGUCUGAAUAGGGCGUUUAGUAUUUGGUCGUAGACCCGAAACCAGGUGAUCUACCCUUGGUCAGGUUGAAGUUCAGGUAACACUGAAUGGAGGACCGAACCGACUUACGUUGAAAAGUGAGCGGAUGAACUGAGGGUAGCGGAGAAAUUCCAAUCGAACCUGGAGAUAGCUGGUUCUCUCCGAAAUAGCUUUAGGGCUAGCCUCAAGUGAUGAUUAUUGGAGGUAGAGCACUGUUUGGACGAGGGGCCCCUCUCGGGUUACCGAAUUCAGACAAACUCCGAAUGCCAAUUAAUUUAACUUGGGAGUCAGAACAUGGGUGAUAAGGUCCGUGUUCGAAAGGGAAACAGCCCAGACCACCAGCUAAGGUCCCAAAAUAUAUGUUAAGUGGAAAAGGAUGUGGCGUUGCCCAGACAACUAGGAUGUUGGCUUAGAAGCAGCCAUCAUUUAAAGAGUGCGUAAUAGCUCACUAGUCGAGUGACACUGCGCCGAAAAUGUACCGGGGCUAAACAUAUUACCGAAGCUGUGGAUUGUCCUUUGGACAAUGGUAGGAGAGCGUUCUAAGGGCGUUGAAGCAUGAUCGCAAGGACAUGUGGAGCGCUUAGAAGUGAGAAUGCCGGUGUGAGUAGCGAAAGACGGGUGAGAAUCCCGUCCACCGAUUGACUAAGGUUUCCAGAGGAAGGCUCGUCCGCUCUGGGUUAGUCGGGUCCUAAGCUGAGGCCGACAGGCGUAGGCGAUGGAUAACAGGUUGAUAUUCCUGUACCACCUAUAAUCGUUUUAAUCGAUGGGGGGACGCAGUAGGAUAGGCGAAGCGUGCGAUUGGAUUGCACGUCUAAGCAGUAAGGCUGAGUAUUAGGCAAAUCCGGUACUCAUUAAGGCUGAGCUGUGAUGGGGAGAAGACAUUGUGUCUUCGAGUCGUUGAUUUCACACUGCCGAGAAAAGCCUCUAGAUAGAAAAUAGGUGCCCGUACCGCAAACCGACACAGGUAGUCAAGAUGAGAAUUCUAAGGUGAGCGAGCGAACUCUCGUUAAGGAACUCGGCAAAAUGACCCCGUAACUUCGGGAGAAGGGGUGCUCUUUAGGGUUAACGCCCAGAAGAGCCGCAGUGAAUAGGCCCAAGCGACUGUUUAUCAAAAACACAGGUCUCUGCUAAACCGUAAGGUGAUGUAUAGGGGCUGACGCCUGCCCGGUGCUGGAAGGUUAAGAGGAGUGGUUAGCUUCUGCGAAGCUACGAAUCGAAGCCCCAGUAAACGGCGGCCGUAACUAUAACGGUCCUAAGGUAGCGAAAUUCCUUGUCGGGUAAGUUCCGACCCGCACGAAAGGCGUAACGAUUUGGGCACUGUCUCAACGAGAGACUCGGUGAAAUCAUAGUACCUGUGAAGAUGCAGGUUACCCGCGACAGGACGGAAAGACCCCGUGGAGCUUUACUGUAGCCUGAUAUUGAAAUUCGGCACAGCUUGUACAGGAUAGGUAGGAGCCUUUGAAACGUGAGCGCUAGCUUACGUGGAGGCGCUGGUGGGAUACUACCCUAGCUGUGUUGGCUUUCUAACCCGCACCACUUAUCGUGGUGGGAGACAGUGUCAGGCGGGCAGUUUGACUGGGGCGGUCGCCUCCUAAAAGGUAACGGAGGCGCUCAAAGGUUCCCUCAGAAUGGUUGGAAAUCAUUCAUAGAGUGUAAAGGCAUAAGGGAGCUUGACUGCGAGACCUACAAGUCGAGCAGGGUCGAAAGACGGACUUAGUGAUCCGGUGGUUCCGCAUGGAAGGGCCAUCGCUCAACGGAUAAAAGCUACCCCGGGGAUAACAGGCUUAUCUCCCCCAAGAGUUCACAUCGACGGGGAGGUUUGGCACCUCGAUGUCGGCUCAUCGCAUCCUGGGGCUGUAGUCGGUCCCAAGGGUUGGGCUGUUCGCCCAUUAAAGCGGUACGCGAGCUGGGUUCAGAACGUCGUGAGACAGUUCGGUCCCUAUCCGUCGUGGGCGUAGGAAAUUUGAGAGGAGCUGUCCUUAGUACGAGAGGACCGGGAUGGACAUACCUCUGGUGUACCAGUUGUCGUGCCAACGGCAUAGCUGGGUAGCUAUGUGUGGACGGGAUAAGUGCUGAAAGCAUCUAAGCAUGAAGCCCCCCUCAAGAUGAGAUUUCCCAACUUCGGUUAUAAGAUCCCUCAAAGAUGAUGAGGUUAAUAGGUUCGAGGUGGAAGCAUGGUGACAUGUGGAGCUGACGAAUACUAAUCGAUCGAAGACUUAAUCAA